This 103-nucleotide microRNA precursor is filed under the name Marmota monax (woodchuck). The record is from RNAcentral. Lineage: Eukaryota; Metazoa; Chordata; Mammalia; Rodentia; Sciuridae.
AUUGGGAUAGCUGGGUAAAAUGGUGGUUCCAUUCCCAAAUUUCCAAGGAAUCUCCAUACUGCUUUCCAUAUUGGCUGCACCAAUUUGCAGCCCUACCAGCAAU